GAGGGUAUAGCUUAAUGGUAGAGUGCAUGCUUAGCACGCACAAGGUCCUGGGUUCAAGCCCCAGUACCUCCA
This 72-nucleotide transfer RNA is filed under the name Camelus bactrianus (Bactrian camel). It matches the Rfam family "tRNA". From Rfam's summary of the family: Transfer RNA (tRNA) molecules are approximately 80 nucleotides in length. Their secondary structure includes four short double-helical elements and three loops (D, anti-codon, and T loops). The record is from Rfam by way of RNAcentral. Lineage: Eukaryota; Metazoa; Chordata; Mammalia; Artiodactyla; Camelidae. RNAcentral also lists the same sequence under 2 other names.